GAGGGUGUGGGUGUGGGUGUGGGUGUGGGUGUGGAUACGCUUCAAUUUAGACCCACACCCACACUCACCCCACAUCCACACCC
RNAcentral lists this microRNA precursor (83 nucleotides) under Adineta vaga. Lineage: Eukaryota; Metazoa; Rotifera; Eurotatoria; Adinetida; Adinetidae. The record is from RNAcentral.